AGGACGAACGCUGGCGGCGUGCUUAACACAUGCAAGUGGAGCGACGAACCAGGCUUCGGCCUGGGGCAGAGCCGCGAACGGGUGAGUAACACGUGGGUAACCUGCCUCGAUGACCGGGACAACCCGAGGAAACCCGGGCUAAUACCGGAUGUGCUCCUUCACAUCAGUGAAGACAGGAAAGGAAGCUUCGGCCUCCGCAUCGAGAUGGGCCCGCGGCCCAUUAGCUUUGUUGGUGAGGUAACGGCUCACCAAGGCUGCGAUGGGUAGCUGGUCUGAGAGGACAUCAGCCACACUGGGACUGAGACACGGCCAGACUCCGUACGGGAGCAGCAGUGGGAAUCGUUAGCGCAAGUGCGCGAAAGCGUAGACGCAGACGAACCGCCGCGU
This 387-nucleotide ribosomal RNA is filed under the name uncultured soil bacterium. Its description in RNAcentral is "bacterial SSU rRNA". It matches the Rfam family "Bacterial small subunit ribosomal RNA", at positions 26 to 402 of the family's 1533-position model. The record is from RNAcentral.